Long non-coding RNA from Pan troglodytes (chimpanzee), 670 nucleotides. RefSeq lists it as uncharacterized. The record is from RefSeq and is a predicted model, not a curated record. The transcript has 3 exons. NCBI's taxonomy places the organism in Eukaryota, Metazoa, Chordata, Mammalia, Primates, Hominidae.
UACCACUUCCACACAGGCCUGAGCGCUUCACUCUGGGCAUCCAAAGCCAGGAGUUGGCUCCAGCUAGAGUCCAGACAGCAGCAGAGGUGAAGUUCCCUGUCACACAGUCACAGGCUAGAACUCAGUCACAUCCACGCCUGACUGCGAGCGGGACUGGAAAGUGCCCCGAGGAAACUCCAGGACUCCAACGCCAAGUAAAGGGAGCGUAGAUAUUAGACAGACAGAGCCUGUCCCUGGCUCAGAACCAGUUGCGGUGGAGAGCGGAGGAAGGAGGCCAUGGGAACCACUCCUCUUGCCCUGCUGAGGGUGUCUGGGUGGAUGAGGGCCACCGCGGACCCAGGCCAGGAUGGCUGCUGUGGGGGAGGAGACCGCCAGGGCAGCAGUGACAGCCAAGAGCAGUGAGCGAGAGAAAAAAGACCAGUGUUUUACUGGCUUAUGGGGAGGCAGCUAUCACCAGAGCUACAAGACUCUGCAAAGAAACCCGUGCACUUCCAAGUUCGUGGUGAAAGGAAAGACACUUGGCAGCUGGGCAGGACUUUAUUUUUUGAGACAGAGUCUCGCUCUGUUGUCAGGCUGGAGUGCAGUGGCACGAUCUCGGCUCACUGCAACCUCCGCCUCCCGGGUUCAAGCAAUUCUCCUGCCUCAACCUCCCGAGUAGCUGGGAUUACAG